UGAUUCCUCUUUUGAUGUUGAAUUUAAUUGCAACUGGAAUUCCUUAGGUGAGAAACUCUUUCGUGGCUCUUGGAAUUGUGUUGGUAGUGAUUGAGUUGGAUUUGGACUUCUGAAAAUUCGAAAUUUGGUUCCCUGCUGUUUUCCCGCCUCUGCUGUCAAUUUCUGCUGUCAAGGUGAUUUGGGCAGUUUCUGCGAGUGAUUUGGGCAGAUCACUUGCCCAAUCUGCCCCAAUCGCUC
RNAcentral lists this long non-coding RNA (237 nucleotides) under Manihot esculenta (cassava). RNAcentral describes it as "long non-coding RNA (MESC_LNC001247)". Lineage: Eukaryota; Viridiplantae; Streptophyta; Magnoliopsida; Malpighiales; Euphorbiaceae. The record is from RNAcentral.